This 535-nucleotide ribosomal RNA is filed under the name Tardiomyces blankii. RNAcentral's name for it is "eukaryotic LSU rRNA". It matches the Rfam family "Eukaryotic large subunit ribosomal RNA", at positions 89 to 650 of the family's 3401-position model. Lineage: Eukaryota; Fungi; Ascomycota; Dipodascomycetes; Dipodascales; Trichomonascaceae. The record is from RNAcentral.
GCGAGUGAAGCAGCCAAAGCUCAAAUUUGAAAGCUCCUAACAAGGCGCAUUGUAAUUUGAAGAUGGUAUUCCGAGUUAGUCCUUUACCUCAGUUCCUUGGAACAGGACGCCAUAGAGGGUGAGAGCCCCGUGUGGUAUUGGUAGCUUUCUCAUGUGGUUUACCUUCGAAGAGUCGAGUUGUUUGGGAAUGCAGCUCUAAGUGGGUGGUAAAUUCCAUCUAAAGCUAAAUAUUGGCGAGAGACCGAUAGCGAACAAGUACUGUGAAGGAAAGAUGAAAAGAACUUUGAAAAGAGAGUGAAAAAGUACGUGAAAUUGUUGAAAGGGAAGGGAAUUGGACUAGACUUGGAUUUCUGUUAUCAGCAGUCUCUCGGGGCUGUGCACUAGCAGUUUUCUAGGCCAGGAUCUGUUUGGAGGCCAGGAUAAAACCCAAAGAAUGUGGCUCUUCGGAGUGUUAUAGCUUUGGUUGAAUACUGGCAUUCUGGACAGAGGACCGCGCUUCGUGCUAGGAUCCUGGCGUAAUAGUCCUAUUCCACCC